RNAcentral lists this small nuclear RNA (103 nucleotides) under Procavia capensis (Cape rock hyrax). The record is from RNAcentral. Lineage: Eukaryota; Metazoa; Chordata; Mammalia; Hyracoidea; Procaviidae.
GUGCUUCCUUCGGCAGUACGUAUACUUAAAAUUAGAACCACACAGAGAUUGGCAUGGCCCUUGUGCAAGGAAGACACAAAUUCAUGAAGCAUUCUGUAUUUUU